CAGUAGCCGCGGUAACACGAAGGGGGCUAGCGUUGCUCGGAAUGACUGGGCGUAAAGGGCGCGUAGGCGGUUCGUACAGUUGGAUGUGAAAUUCCUGGGCUUAACCUGGGGGCUGCAUUCAAUACGUGCGGGCUUGAGUGUGGAAGAGGGUUGUGGAAUUCCCAGUGUAGAGGUGAAAUUCGUAGAUAUUGGGAAGAACACCGGUGGCGAAGGCGGCAACCUGGUCCAUAACUGACGCUGAGGCGCGAAAGCGUGGGGAGCAAACAGGAUUAGAUACCCCCGUAGUCCCUGUCUCUUAUAC
Molecule: ribosomal RNA, 301 nt
Filed under: uncultured bacterium
Lineage: Bacteria
Description: partial 16S ribosomal RNA
Rfam family: Bacterial small subunit ribosomal RNA
Source: RNAcentral